Molecule: ribosomal RNA, 252 nt
Filed under: uncultured bacterium
Lineage: Bacteria
Description: partial 16S ribosomal RNA
Rfam family: Bacterial small subunit ribosomal RNA
Source: RNAcentral
UACGUAGGGGGCUAGCGUUGUCCGGAAUCACUGGGCGUAAAGGGUUCGCAGGCGGAAAUGCAAGUCAGAUGUAAAAGCCAGUAGCUUAACUACUGUAAGCAUUUGAAACUGCAUAUCUUGAGAAGAGUAGAGGUAAGUGGAAUUCUGAGUGUAGCGGUGAAAUUCGUAGAUAUUCAAAAGAACACCGGUGGCGAAGGCGGCUCACUGGCCUGAUUCUGACGCUGAGGAGCGAAAGCGUGGGGAGCAAAUAGG